UGGGGAAUAUUGCACAAUGGGCGCAAGCCUGAUGCAGCAACGCCGCGUGAAGGAAGACGGUUUUCGGAUUGUAAACUUCUGUUCUUAGUGAAGAAGAAUGACGGUAGCUAAGGAGCAAGCCACGGCUAACUACGUGCCAGCAGCCGCGGUAAUACGUAGGUGGCAAGCGUUGUCCGGAAUUACUGGGUGUAAAGGGAGCGCAGGCGGGGGAACAAGUCAGUUGUGAAAUCCAUGGGCUUAACCCGUGAACUGCAGUUGAAACUGUUCUUCUUGAGUGAAGUAGAGGUUGGCGGAAUUCCGAGUGUAGCGGUGAAAUGCGUAGAUAUUCGGAGGAACACCGGUGGCGAAGGCGGCCAACUGGGCUUUUACUGACGCUGAGGCUCGAAAGUGUGGGGAGCAGACAGGAUUAGAUACCC
Molecule: ribosomal RNA, 416 nt
Filed under: uncultured bacterium
Lineage: Bacteria
Description: bacterial SSU rRNA
Rfam family: Bacterial small subunit ribosomal RNA
Source: RNAcentral